GAUGAACGCUGGCGGCGUGCCUAAUACAUGCAAGUCGAGCGAACAGACGAGGAGCUUGCUCUUCUGACGUUAGCGGCGGACGGGUGAGUAACACGUGGAUAACCUACCUAUAAGACUGGGAUAACUUCGGGAAACCGGAGCUAAUACCGGAUAAUAUAUUGAACCGCAUGGUUCAAUAGUGAAAGACGGUUUUGCUGUCACUUAUAGAUGGAUCCGCGCCGCAUUAGCUAGUUGGUAAGGUAACGGCUUACCAAGGCAACGAUGCGUAGCCGACCUGAGAGGGUGAUCGGCCACACUGGAACUGAGACACGGUCCAGACUCCUACGGGAGGCAGCAGUAGGGAAUCUUCCGCAAUGGGCGAAAGCCUGACGGAGCAACGCCGCGUGAGUGAUAAAGGUCUUCGGAUCGUAAAACUCUGUUAUUAGGGAAGAACAAAUGUGUAAGUAACUAUGCACGUCUUGACGGUACCUAAUCAGAAAGCCACGGCUAACUACGUG
Molecule: ribosomal RNA, 497 nt
Filed under: uncultured bacterium
Lineage: Bacteria
Description: partial 16S ribosomal RNA
Rfam family: Bacterial small subunit ribosomal RNA
Source: RNAcentral